UUGUUUAUUUAAAAUUUACUCGGACUUAAUGAAUCAGGAGUGUAAAACCUUCGGCGGGCACUCGCCCGCUGACGCCGACGGUGGUCGAAACCAACAUCCCGCCGAAGCAACAGGUAAGACAACAUGGUGUGGAGUACUGACACAGAGUGCCAAUCUCAGUAAUGAUCCUUCCGCAGGUUCACCUACGGAAA
Molecule: unclassified non-coding RNA, 191 nt
Filed under: uncultured fungus
Lineage: Eukaryota; Fungi
Description: sequence contains ITS1
Source: RNAcentral